This 228-nucleotide unclassified non-coding RNA is filed under the name rhizosphere metagenome. RNAcentral describes it as "partial ribosomal RNA internal transcribed spacer region". The record is from RNAcentral.
GAGUUUUGACUGGGUUGUAGCUGGCCUUCCGAGGCAUGUGCACGCCCUGCUCAUCCACUCUACACCUGUGCACUUACUGUGGGUAUCAGAUCGUGAAGCGUGCUCUUUUACCGGAGCUUGUGAAGCGUGUCUGUGCCUGCGUUUAUCACAAACACUAUAAAGUAUCAGAAUGUGUAUUACGAUGUAACGCAUCUAUAUACAACUUUCAGCAACGGAUCUCUUGGCUCU